AUUUUUGUGCAGAGGUGGUAUUGCAGCUAAUGAGGUUCUAAUCAAAGCACAAUUAUUGCUGAUUGAAAGUUGCCACGACCCUUAAUGUAUCGGUGGGUGAGAUUGAUUGUAUUUAAGCGUUAAACUUUAGCUCAGAUAUCU
Molecule: small nuclear RNA, 141 nt
Organism: Diceros bicornis minor
Lineage: Eukaryota; Metazoa; Chordata; Mammalia; Perissodactyla; Rhinocerotidae
Product: U4 spliceosomal RNA
Exons: 1
Source: RefSeq, a predicted model, not a curated record